RNAcentral lists this unclassified non-coding RNA (856 nucleotides) under uncultured bacterium. Its description in RNAcentral is "partial contains 16S ribosomal RNA, 16S-23S ribosomal RNA intergenic spacer, and 23S ribosomal RNA". The stretch from base 285 to 357 matches the Rfam family "tRNA". The record is from RNAcentral.
GCUGGAUCCCCUCCUUUCUAAAGGACAUACUCGCUCGAGAGUCGGUUGGCUGUUCAGUUUUUUAAGACCAAAAUUAAGUUUUUUGACCUUUGGCAAAUUUUUCUUCGGGCGCGCAGGCCCGGAGCCCGUAAGGGGAAAAAUGGUUCUAAUCGAGCUAUCCCCAUACGACACUAGGGCCUGUAGCUCAGGUGGUUAGAGCGCACCCCUGAUAAGGGUGAGGUCGGAAGUUCAAGUCUUCCCAGGCCCACCAGCUAAUCAGCAAGGCGAACACGCUUUGCAUUUUCGGGGAUGUAGCUCAGUUGGGAGAGCACCGGCUUUGCAAGCCGGGGGUCAGGGGUUCGAUCCCCCUCAUCUCCACCAAUAAUAAGGUGUAGUGAGGGAUUGAGAAUUUGAAAGGGGUUUGCGAAGCCGAAGGCUGAGCACCCUGUCGAAUGACAGGGCGAUCCCCCUCAUCUCCACCAAUAAUAAGGUGUAGUGAGGGAUGAAAAGUUGAAGGGGUUUUUGAGCCGAAGGCGAAAACCCUGCCGAAUGGCAGGGCGAUCCCCCUCAUCUCCACCAAUAAAAGGUGUAGUGAGGGAUUGAGAAUUUGAAAGGGGUUUGCGAAGCCGAAGGCUGAGCACCCUGUCGAAUGACAGGGUGGUUGUUAUCAAGCUCAAUUAAAAAGUUUUUGUUCUUUGACAAUUGCAUAUGUCCCAAGGCGAAUUCAUUUCGUCGCACCGAUUUCUUUGUAGGUAUUUUCAAAUACUUUGGAAGACCAAGUUAUUGAUUUGGUCAAGCUACUAAGAGUGCACGGUGGAUGCCUUGGCGGAGAACGGCGAUGAAGGACGUUGUUGGUUGCGAUAAGCUUCGGGGAGCC